CCAAACUCCUACGGGAGGCAGCAGUGGGGAAUAUUGCACAAUGGGCGAAAGCCUGAUGCAGCAACGCCGCGUGAGUGAUGAAGGCCUUCGGGUCGUAAAACCCUGUCCUCAAGGAAGAUAAUGACGGUACUUGAGGAGGAAGCCCCGGCUAACUACGUGCCAGCAGCCGCGGUAAUACGUAGGGGGCUAGCGUUAUCCGGAUUUAC
This 206-nucleotide ribosomal RNA is filed under the name Clostridioides difficile. Its description in RNAcentral is "partial 16S ribosomal RNA". It matches the Rfam family "Bacterial small subunit ribosomal RNA", at positions 331 to 554 of the family's 1533-position model. Lineage: Bacteria; Bacillati; Bacillota; Clostridia; Peptostreptococcales; Peptostreptococcaceae. The record is from RNAcentral.